ACACAAGGUCUAGCUUCACCAGAUUGCCGCAUGACUCCAUUCAGCUUCUUUUAGGCAACUGCCAAGCGUACAGAUCUUCUUCUCCGGCCGGUUCUGGUCUCAAAUUGUGUCGCCCAGCAGAUCUCCUUACGACGCACUAUCUAUCAUGAUCGGACUUCUGUUCUCCUUGCGAUGCGCAUCCACAAAUACAGCUUUCUCAGUUUCGGGACAGAUUUUGUGAACCAAUCUGACCAGCUUUUCCGGUCAUUUUUCUGGCUCUUCAGCGCGUCUGCCUAAGGUUUCGCGAUAUCGGCACUUAUUUGAUUUUUUGUGCGUGAGGUGUUCUGACCAAUCUUUUAUAGUUUUUU
RNAcentral lists this long non-coding RNA (347 nucleotides) under Carica papaya (papaya). Its description in RNAcentral is "long non-coding RNA (CPAP_LNC016109)". The record is from RNAcentral. Lineage: Eukaryota; Viridiplantae; Streptophyta; Magnoliopsida; Brassicales; Caricaceae.